RNAcentral lists this ribosomal RNA (549 nucleotides) under Macaca mulatta (Rhesus monkey). Its description in RNAcentral is "partial large subunit ribosomal RNA". It matches the Rfam family "Bacterial large subunit ribosomal RNA", at positions 1816 to 2597 of the family's 2925-position model. Lineage: Eukaryota; Metazoa; Chordata; Mammalia; Primates; Cercopithecidae. The record is from RNAcentral.
CACCUCUAGCAUUACCAGUAUUAGAGGCACUGCCUGCCCGGUGACACGUACUCAACGGCCGUGGUACCCUGACCGUGCAAAGGUAGCAUAAUCACUUGUUCCUUAAAUGGGGACUCGCAUGAAUGGCAUCACGAGGGUUCAACUGUCUCUUACUUUCAACCAGUGAAAUUGACCUGUCCGUGAAGAGGCAGACAUGAAACAAUAAGACGAGAAGACCCUAUGGAGCUUUAAUUUAUUAAUGCAAUCAAAACUGUACAAAUCCACGGACCCUUACACCACCACACCUGCAUUAAAAAUUUUGGUUGGGGUGACCUCGGAGCAUAACUAAACCUCCAAACAGCCUAUGCUAAGACUACACAAGCCAAAGCAAACCAGCACCUGUAAUUGACCCAAUGACUUGACCAACGGAACAAGUUACCCUAGGGAAAACAGUGCAAUCCUAUUCCUGAGUCCAUAUCGACAAUAGAGCUUACGACCUCGAUGUUGGAUCAGGACAUCCUAAUGGUGCAGCAGCUAUCAAGGGUUCGUUUGUUCAACGAUUAAAGUCCU